RNAcentral lists this ribosomal RNA (387 nucleotides) under uncultured eukaryote. Its description in RNAcentral is "SSU rRNA". It matches the Rfam family "Eukaryotic small subunit ribosomal RNA", at positions 587 to 972 of the family's 1831-position model. The record is from RNAcentral.
AGCUCCAGCAGCGUAUAUUUAUAUUGCUGCGUUUAAAAAGCUCGUAGUUGAAGCGUCAGACGCGGGAGGGCGGACGGCCGCACUGGUCGCUCUCGCCCGACCGAGCCAGGCGCAGAGGGCGCGCGUCGCUUGCACUUCGCCGUGUGAGCGCGCCGCCGCUGCACGUUCACCUUGAAGAAAUUGAACCGCUCAGAGGAGGCGUGCAGCUUGUACAGCUCAGCAUGGUAUGAUGGAACAUGGGCUCGUACUCAUUUUGUUGGUUAGAGAGUCGGCGAGCCAAUGAUUAACAGGGACUGCCGGGGGCAUUCGUACUCGGACGGGAGAGGUGAAAUUCAAGGAUCGUCCGAAGACGCCCUACUGCGAAAGCAUUUGCCAAGAAUGUUUUCA